GCGGGCGUAGUUCAAUGGCUAGAACCCCAGCCUUCCAAGCUGAUGAUGCGAGUUCGAUUCUCGUCGCCCGCUCCA
This 75-nucleotide transfer RNA is filed under the name marine actinobacterium MedAcidi-G3. RNAcentral's name for it is "tRNA-Gly". It matches the Rfam family "tRNA". Rfam says of the family: Transfer RNA (tRNA) molecules are approximately 80 nucleotides in length. Their secondary structure includes four short double-helical elements and three loops (D, anti-codon, and T loops). The record is from RNAcentral. RNAcentral also lists the same sequence under 7 other names. Lineage: Bacteria; Bacillati; Actinomycetota; Actinomycetes.